UUCCACCAAUGCAAUUCCCCCUAAAAAUUAUAAAAAAUUAUUUUUUAUGUUAAAUAUAAAAAUAUUUAAACACCAGCUUAAGUUUUUAGAGUACAACGGUUGUUUCACAUGGUAUCAGAGCAGGAGGUCCUGAGUUCGAGUUACGCCAGGUUGCUAGCAUAUUAAUUUCCUUCCAUUUAAUUCAAGCUCACGUUAUGGGCCGAUUAAAAAGUCUUGAGCCCAGACGUGAGGAGGAGUGUUAAAUAUAAAAAUGUUUAAACACCGUUCUACAAUGGUUGUUUCACAUUUUAACAAACAGAUUUUGCAGGAAUUUUGUUUUAUAGCUCUUAUUUUCUUGAAUAAAAAAUUACACAUUUUGGGGAAAAAAAUUCAGAAUAAUUAUUUUUUCUACUAGUCAAAUAAAUAAAAAAUAUUUUUUCGGUCAGAAAAAUAGUUUUUAAGAUAAUUUUUUAAAAAUCAGACACAUUAUUUAUUUAUUUUUAAAAAAUAGCAUGCUAUUCGUUUCAUUUAUUUCUUUUAGAAAUAAAUUUAACUGAAAAUAUGAAUCAAUUGAGAUUUAUUUUUGAAAUAUCAAAUACUAAAUGUCAAAUUUUUUGUCAUUUACGCUAGAAAUUGUGGGUAAAUAAAAC
Molecule: long non-coding RNA, 629 nt
Filed under: Ananas comosus (pineapple)
Lineage: Eukaryota; Viridiplantae; Streptophyta; Magnoliopsida; Poales; Bromeliaceae
Description: long non-coding RNA (ACOM_LNC004498)
Source: RNAcentral